GACAAACGCUGGCGGCAUGCCUAACACAUGCAAGUCGAACGGACAGAACAGGGAAGCUUUUCGGAGUGGAACUGGAAAGUUAGUGGCGGAUGGGUGAGUAACGCGUGGACAACCUACCUUGUAAAGGGGAAUAACCUCGAGAAAUCGAAGCUAAUACCCCAUAAUAACCUUGCUUCGCAUGAAGUAAGGAGGAAAGGCGGCCUUAGCGCUGUCGAUACAAGAUGGGUCCGCGUCUGAUUAGCUAGUUGGUGAGGUAAAGGCUCACCAAGGCGACGAUCAGGAGCCGGCCUGAGAGGGUGAACGGCCACAUUGGGACUGAGACACGGCCCAAACUCCUACGGGAGGCAGCAGUGGGGAAUCUUCCGCAAUGGGCGAAAGCCUGACGGAGCAAUGCCGCGUGAGUGAAGAAGGCCUUCGGGUUGUAAAACUCUGUCCUUAUCGAAGAGAGAGUGUUGUAGUAACUGACAAUACUAGGACGGUAGAUGAGGAGGAAGCCCCGGCUAACUAUGUG
RNAcentral lists this ribosomal RNA (511 nucleotides) under uncultured bacterium. Its description in RNAcentral is "partial 16S ribosomal RNA". It matches the Rfam family "Bacterial small subunit ribosomal RNA", at positions 28 to 507 of the family's 1533-position model. The record is from RNAcentral.